UGAACUGAAGAGUUUGAUCCUGGCUCAGAUUGAACGCUGGCGGCAUGCCUUACACAUGCAAGUCGAACGGUAACGGGNCCUUCGGGCGCCGAACGAGUGGCGAACGGGUGAGUAAUCCAUCGGAACAUGCCCUGAAGUGGGGGAUAACGUAGCGAAAGUUACGCUAAUACCGCAUAUCCUGUGAGCAGGAAAGCAGGGGACCUUCGGGCCUUGCGCUUUGGGAGUGGCCGAUGUCGGAUUAGCUAGUUGGUGGGGUAAAAGCCUACCAAGGCAACGAUCCGUAGCGGGUCUGAGAGGAUGAUCCGCCACACUGGGACUGAGACACGGGCCAGACUCCUACGGGAGGCAGCCGUGGGGAAUUUUGGACAAUGGGCGAAAGCCUGAUCCAGCCAUGCCGCGUGAGUGAAGAAGGCCUUCGGGUUGUAAAGCUCUUUCGGCGGGGAAGAAAUCGGGUUUCCUAAUACGGAACCCGGAUGACGGUACCCGAAGAAGAAGCACCGGCUAACUACGUGCCAGCAGCCGCGGUAAUACGUAGGGUGCNAGCGUUAAUCGGAAUUACUGGGCGUAAAGCGUGCGCAGGCGGUUGUGUAAGACAGACGUGAAAUCCCCGGGCUCAACCUGGGAACUGCGUUUGUGACUGCACAGCUAGAGUGCGGCAGAGGGGGGUGGAAUUCCACGUGUAGCAGUGAAAUGCGUAGAGAUGUGGAGGAACACCGAUGGCGAAGGCAGCCCCCUGGGCCAAUACUGACGCUCAUGCACGNAAGCGUGGGGAGCAAACAGGAUUAGAUACCCUGGUAGUCCACGCCCUAAACGAUGGCACCUAGGUGUUGGUGGGGUUAAACCCAUUAGUGCCGUAGCUAACGCGUGAAGUUGACCGCCUGGGGAGUACGGCGGCAAGGUUAAAACUCAAAGGAAUUGACGGGGANCCGCACAAGCGGUGGAUGAUGUGGAUUAAUUCGAUGCAACGCGAAAAACCUUACCUACCCUUGACAUGUCAGGAAUCCUGAGGAGACUCGGGAGUGCCCGAAAGGGNACCUGAACACAGGUGCUGCAUGGCNGUCGUCAGCUCGUGUCGUGAGAUGUUGGGUUAAGUCCCGCAACGAGCGCAACCCUUGUCAUUAAUUGCCAUCAUUCAGUUGGGCACUUUAAUGAAACUGCCGGUGACAAACCGGAGGAAGGUGGGGAUGACGUCAAGUCCUCAUGGCCCUUAUGGGUAGGGCUUCACACGUCAUACAAUGGUCGGUCCAUAGGGUUGCNAACCCGCGAGGGGGAGCUAAUCCCAGAAAGCCGAUCGUAGUCCGGAUUGCAGUCUGCAACUCCACUGCAUGAAGUCGGAAUCGCUAGUAAUCGCGGAUCAGCAUGUCGCGGUGAAUACGUUCCCGGGUCUUGUACACACCGCCCGUCACACCAUGGGAGCGGGUUCUGCCAGAAGUAGUUAGCCUAACCGCAAGGAGGGCGAUUACCACGGCAGCGUUCGU
RNAcentral lists this ribosomal RNA (1478 nucleotides) under uncultured Rhodocyclus sp. RNAcentral's name for it is "bacterial SSU rRNA". It matches the Rfam family "Bacterial small subunit ribosomal RNA". Lineage: Bacteria; Pseudomonadati; Pseudomonadota; Betaproteobacteria; Rhodocyclales; Rhodocyclaceae. The record is from RNAcentral.